GUUAAAUUCUAAGCACAGUUCCACCUUCCGGCUGCUGCCAGGAAUCCCCUCCCCAGACCUCUGGGAGGAACAGGUGGAGGAGAGGGACUGUCCGACCAGCACCUUUCUUGUGGGCCCUUGGGGUGAGAAGUCUCCCGGAGACGGAGACCGGUGCUGUGCCGCGUGCUGGUAGGUCACCACGCAGCGCCAAGUGACGGAGAGGACAGUGCACACCGGAAGCACCGGCGGCUUGCUCUGGGCUCUGGGUGCAUCUGGGCGAAGCUGGCCUGAUGAUCGGGAGCUGAGGCGCUGUCCCCUCCCUGUCAGUCGGCGUCAGGGACUCCUCCCUCCCUCCCCUCAACCCCGAAGCUGGUGCAGCCCGGCUCCUGCUGCCUAGGAGGGGGCCCUGGGCUCCCAGCGCCCUCUUCCUGCAACUGCGUCCUCUCUCCUCUCCCGGGCCCCUGCUCCUUCCCCGGGCUGGACUUGUGCCAUGGAUCUGUGGCCCUGCGAUGGCCUGGAGCCCUGGGUGCGGAUGAGGUGUGGCCCUCGGGACACCUAGUGGACCCUCUGUGUCGCCUGAGCCCGGCCCUAGCUGAAAACAGAAAUGUAAUUUAUUCAAAUACGGUCAUGUCAUCUUCUUCUGGACCUUCGUCCUAACUCUCCGAACCCCGAAUUCCAG
This 658-nucleotide long non-coding RNA is filed under the name Heterocephalus glaber (naked mole-rat). Its description in RNAcentral is "lncRNA (ENSHGLG00000038652.1)". The record is from RNAcentral. Lineage: Eukaryota; Metazoa; Chordata; Mammalia; Rodentia; Bathyergidae.